This 253-nucleotide ribosomal RNA is filed under the name uncultured bacterium. RNAcentral describes it as "partial 16S ribosomal RNA". It matches the Rfam family "Bacterial small subunit ribosomal RNA", at positions 524 to 776 of the family's 1533-position model. The record is from RNAcentral.
UACGUAGGGUGCGAGCGUUGCCCGGAUUUAUUGGGCGUAAAGGGCGCGUAGGCGGCCACGCACGUCCGUUGUGAAAUCGCCCGGCUCAACUGGGCGGGGUCAGCGGAUACGGUGUGGCUCGAGCAAGCUAGGGGGCAAUGGAAUUCCCGGUGUAGUGGUGGAAUGCGUAGAUAUCAGGAGGAACACCGGUGGCGAAGGCGGGUCUCUGGGCCGAUACUGACGCUGAGGAGCGAAAGCGUGGGGAGCGAACAGG